UCCCUACAGCAAUUUUUACAAGGCUUUGUGCUUUUCAGCAGGAGCGCUAACUUCUACCACAGAGGCAAAAGGCUACACCAGUGCCACGGCAUUCAGCGAGGCUUUGACAACAGCACGUAACCUGUCCUACAGCAUCACAGAUCAGACAAUUUCAGUUACCAGAGGAAAAGAUUUCUUUCCUACCAGCAGCCUGCUGAACACUACUGGUGACAGGAGGAACGCCAAAGCCAGUGGCUUCCCCUGGCCAACAGUGGCAGCUGUCCUGCUCCUCCUCUGCAGCACUCUGGUAGCUUUAGGCAUCAGGAAAUCGUGUCAGUACCAGAAAGAGAUUAUGAACAGACGUCCAUCUUUUAAGCCACCGCCACCUCCAAUAAAGCACACCUCCAUGGUAGAGUCUGAUGGGACUCCCCCAUCCUGCCACGAACUAGAAAGCCUGUAACACCACCUGCACCCCUUGUGUAGCACACAGAAGACUAGCACAGUUAAAAGGCUCUGCCUUUGGAACAGUGGUUACAGGAGCUUGGUGGUAAUGACACAUUAAAAAUCAGAGCUCCUACAUGACAUUAAUUUUGGAAGCUGAGCACUUCUUGGGAGACUCCUUUCAUCCUGUGUAUCUCUAUGUAUGCACUACAUUCGUAGUAAGUGUCGCUGUGAGAUUACACAUGCUUAAUUUGAAUUGGGUGAUGAACUAGGAAUUUGCUAUCUUGUCCAUGGUAGCAGAUUAACACAUGAGUCUGCCAGCCUGACUGAAGAGUGUUGAAGCUUGUCCAUCUAUUCAAUGUAUACAGAUGACAACUCUGCUGUAUGAACAUCACAGGUACACAGCAAACAGUGGCUGAACACAAGAUUUUGAGACCUACACGAGCUGUUAUUGCAAUUAUUUAUUUUUUAUUGUGGACUAAUAUAACCCAACAUGUAAUUUUCUAUCACUGUGAAACCAAAAGAAAGAAUCAGCACCAUACACAGACAGAAAAUACCCUGCAUCUCUUGGCACAGGAUUGCAGCACUGGAUCAUAGAGGGAGGUUGGUGAGAUGAAAGAUCACCAGCCCCACUGCAAGUGUAUGCAGAGAAGUCCCAGCUGUCAUUGGUGAAGUCACAAGAAAGUCAAUUUUGGUCCAGAGUCUUAAGGACUGAAGCAAGCCUAGAGUUAAUGGAAAAUUCUAGUCCUUUUGGAAGCGCUAUGCCUUUGAAAUAAUACUUACUUUUAAGUCUGCUUUUCAGAAAUUAUAUUUACAGUAUAUGUGAAGGAAAGAAAUGUACUACUUUUAUUUUUCUUUGGUCUUAAUGAGCUUUCAUCACAUACUAUCUUCACAUUUUCCAAGACCUCAGGGGCAGUUUCCCAGGUGAACUUAAGCGUAAACUUAAGCCACAGGCUUAGGCCUGUGAAAGAGAUGAUCCAGUCUUCCCCCUGUCCUGCCCAAGCUACAGAUUUCCUCAUAUUGACACUAAUGAAUAAAUGACGGUGCAGUGGGUGGGCUUGGCUUGGC
This 1488-nucleotide long non-coding RNA is filed under the name Junco hyemalis (dark-eyed junco). RNAcentral's name for it is "lncRNA (ENSJHYG00000017541.1)". The record is from RNAcentral. Lineage: Eukaryota; Metazoa; Chordata; Aves; Passeriformes; Passerellidae.